AUCUCUCAACUAGACAGUUUUUAUUAACUUGUUUGGCUUGGAUGUGAGGGCUGCGGGCGACUCUACAGUUGUCGGCUCCCUUUAAAUGCAUUAGCUGGGGACUUAGUAUGUUGUUCAAGUGCUUCAAUGCUUGAAGACCUCCGGUGUGAUAAUUAUCUACGCUGUUGGUUUAGUUGUUGCGCAUUGUUUGAGCUUCAGAAUAGACUCUGCUUCUAAUUGUCUCUUUCGAGACUAGUCCCUUUGGACUACUUUGACAA
This 257-nucleotide unclassified non-coding RNA is filed under the name uncultured Niaceae. RNAcentral's name for it is "sequence contains ITS2". The record is from RNAcentral. Lineage: Eukaryota; Fungi; Basidiomycota; Agaricomycetes; Agaricales; Niaceae.